ACGGGAGGCAGCAGUGGGGAAUAUUGGGCAAUGGGCGAAAGCCUGACCCAGCGACGCCGCGUGAGGGAAGAAGGUCUUCGGAUUGUAAACCUUAGUCAACAGGGAAGAAGCAAGUGACGGUACCUGUGGAGGAAGCCACGGCUAACUACGUGCCAGCAGCCGCGGUAAUACGUAGGUGGCGAGCGUUAUCCGGAAUUACUGGGUGUAAAGGGUGUGUAGGCGGGUCUGCAAGUCAGAUGUGAAAACUAUCGGCUCAACUGAUAGCUUGCAUUUGAAACUGUGGGUCUUGAGUGUGGGAGAGGUAAGCGGAAUUCCUAGUGUAGCGGUGAAAUGCGUAGAUAUUAGGAAGAACACCGGUGGCGAAGGCGACUUGCUGGACUGAGACUGACGCUGAGGCUCGAAAGCGUGGGGAGCAAACAGGAUUAGAUACCCUGGUA
RNAcentral lists this ribosomal RNA (437 nucleotides) under uncultured Oscillospiraceae bacterium. RNAcentral describes it as "bacterial SSU rRNA". It matches the Rfam family "Bacterial small subunit ribosomal RNA", at positions 341 to 792 of the family's 1533-position model. The record is from RNAcentral. Lineage: Bacteria; Bacillati; Bacillota; Clostridia; Eubacteriales; Oscillospiraceae.